UACGUAGGGCGCAAGCGUUGUCCGGAAUUAUUGGGCGUAAAGAGCUCGUAGGCGGUUUGUCGCGUCUGCUGUGAAAACCUAAGGCUCAACCUUGGGCUUGCAGUGGGUACGGGCAGACUAGAGUGCGGUAGGGGUGACUGGAAUUCCUGGUGUAGCGGUGGAAUGCGCAGAUAUCAGGAGGAACACCGGUGGCGAAGGCGGGUCUCUGGGCCGAAAUUGACGCUGAGAAGCGAAAGCGUGGGGAGCAAACAGG
Molecule: ribosomal RNA, 253 nt
Filed under: uncultured bacterium
Lineage: Bacteria
Description: partial 16S ribosomal RNA
Rfam family: Bacterial small subunit ribosomal RNA
Source: RNAcentral